MicroRNA precursor from Monodelphis domestica (gray short-tailed opossum), 64 nucleotides. Lineage: Eukaryota; Metazoa; Chordata; Mammalia; Didelphimorphia; Didelphidae. The record is from Ensembl.
UCCUGGUCCUCUCGCUGCCCCCUGCCUGAGCACGUCUGCUGGCGGGGCAGAGAUGACCAGGGGA